AUCUCUGGCUGAGGGUAAUGAAAACUGAUCCAGCGUACCGACUGGUCACUGGGGAUUGGGCUUGCUUGGGGUGGUUAUUAUUAUUGCUCUGGCUUGCCUUAAAAUCAUGCGUUGUGUGGAUUGGACUUUCAAGCAUGCAUUGGGGACGCAGGCUCUGCGCUAUAAUAAGGCAAGCCCUUGACCGUCAUAGGUGCUUUGAUUGGGGUCUUCAGUCUAGCCAACAAAGGCUGGGUUGGAACUUUGGGGCUGCAUUGGGGGCGUAGGGCAGCUCUGUUCGUGGCGUCCGAUGACCGUCAUGGUGCAUGAUUGGACUUCAACCAGCAAUUAUUGUUAUUAUUAUCAUU
This 344-nucleotide ribosomal RNA is filed under the name Cantharellus formosus. RNAcentral describes it as "5.8S ribosomal RNA". Lineage: Eukaryota; Fungi; Basidiomycota; Agaricomycetes; Cantharellales; Hydnaceae. The record is from RNAcentral.